AACCAGGAUGCAAGCCGAGGGCGACAACCAAAACGAUGACGAGACAAAAAUAAAUGGCGACGAAAUCGAAUAUGACACAAGUAAUCGCAACGACGUUUCCGCAACUGAGGUGAAUAGAGAGCAGGGCGCGGAGGAGAGCAGCAGCCAACCAAAGGCAU
Molecule: small RNA, 158 nt
Filed under: Pseudo-nitzschia pungens
Lineage: Eukaryota; Bacillariophyta; Bacillariophyceae; Bacillariales; Bacillariaceae
Description: partial transfer-messenger RNA
Source: RNAcentral